RNAcentral lists this ribosomal RNA (548 nucleotides) under uncultured bacterium. RNAcentral describes it as "bacterial SSU rRNA". It matches the Rfam family "Bacterial small subunit ribosomal RNA", at positions 356 to 896 of the family's 1533-position model. The record is from RNAcentral.
GGGGAAUUUUGGACAAUGGGGGCAACCCUGAUCCAGCCAUGCCGCGUGUAUGAAGAAGGCCUUAGGGUUGUAAAGUACUUUUGUUAGGGAAGAAAAGUCAGCUGUGAAUAAUGGCUGAUACUGACGGUACCUAAAGAAUAAGCACCGGCUAACUACGUGCCAGCAGCCGCGGUAAUACGUAGGGUGCGAGCGUUAAUCGGAAUUAUUGGGCGUAAAGCGAGUGUAGACGGUUAUUUAAGCCAGAUGUGAAAUACCCGAGCCUAACUUGGGAGGUGCAUAUGGAACUGGGUAGCUAGAGUGUGUCAGAGGGAGGUAGAACUCCACGUGUAGCAGUGAAAUGCGUAGAGAUGUGGAAGAAUACCGAUGGCGAAGGCAGCCUCCUGGGAUAACACUGACGUUGAGGCUCGAAAGCGUGGGGAGCAAACAGGAUUAGAUACCCUGGUAGUCCACGCCCUAAACGAUGACAAUUAGCUGUUGGCCCCAUUAAGGGGUGAGUAGCGAAGCUAACGCGUGAAAUUGUCCGCCUGGGGAGUACGGUCGCAAGAUUA